UCUUGAGGAGUUAAUCCCCACAUUUGAAGCACAGGAGCGAACCUUUCCUCGUUUUUAGGUCAAUUUGAAUAGAAUUCAGAGGGGUGGCAUGGGGGCGCACUGGGUAGUGCUGUCGCCUCACAGCAAGAUGGUCGCUGGUUUGAGCCUCGGAUGGGUUUCCCCUCGACAGUCCAAUAACAUGCGGUGUAGCUGAAUUGGAUUGGGACCAAUAUUGCUGAGUAUCUUCAUCCAUUGAAUUCAAGAAUCUAUUGAGUUUCCUCAUGUUCUCGUCCUUGGAGACCACCACUUCUUUCAAGCCUUUGCUCACGUGCUGUGCUAUUUAUUAUUGCAAAGUACAUUACUUGCUAAAGUGAACGUUUGCUAUAAAGCAUUCUACAUCUUUGGUGUGAACUACCCCAAGCAGUGUUCCCUGGUGUGGCAGACUGUGGUUUAUGGACAUCCUGGGGAGGAGACACUAGCAGUAAGGGUUCUGCUAGCAUUAAUUUUUGCUGACAAACAGUAAUCAUUAAUACUGUGACCUCACUGCUUCCUUGGAUUCUGUGUUCUUUAACUUGUACUUUGGAUUGUGGGGGAAAAGGAGCACCCGGAGAAAAC
Non-coding RNA from Danio rerio (zebrafish), 594 nucleotides. The record is from RefSeq and is a predicted model, not a curated record. Lineage: Eukaryota; Metazoa; Chordata; Actinopteri; Cypriniformes; Danionidae.